AAUCAACGCUGGCGGCGUGCCUAACACAUGCAAGUCGAACGAGAAAGGGACUUCGGUCCUGAGUACAGUGGCGCACGGGUGAGUAACACGUGACUAACCUACCCUUGAGUGGGGAAUAACUUCGAGAAAUCGAGGCUAAUACCGCAUAACACCUACGGGUCAAAGGAGCAAUUCGACUUAAGGGAGGGGUCGCGGCAGAUUAGUUAGUUGGCGGGGUAAUGGCCCACCAAGACAGUGAUCNGUAUCCGGCCUGAGAGGGCGCACGGACACACU
Molecule: ribosomal RNA, 273 nt
Filed under: uncultured bacterium
Lineage: Bacteria
Description: partial 16S ribosomal RNA
Rfam family: Bacterial small subunit ribosomal RNA
Source: RNAcentral